RNAcentral lists this long non-coding RNA (442 nucleotides) under Cucumis sativus (cucumber). RNAcentral's name for it is "long non-coding RNA (CSAT_LNC001432)". The record is from RNAcentral. Lineage: Eukaryota; Viridiplantae; Streptophyta; Magnoliopsida; Cucurbitales; Cucurbitaceae.
CGCCAAGGCGAUUAUCCAGGAGGACCACCACCUCCGAACAAUUUUAACAGACCACCACCGCCACCACCGCACAACUACAGCGGACCACCACCACCACCACCACACAACUUCAGCGGACCACCACCACCACCACCACACAACUUCAGCGGACCACCACCACCACCACCGCACAACUUCAACGGACCACCACCACCACCACCGCACAACUUCAACGGACCACCACCACCACCGUACAACUUCAACGGGCCACCACCUCCUCCACCAAACAACUUCAACGGACCACCACCUCCUCCACCGAACAACUUCAACGGACCACCACCACGCAACUAUGCUUCAGCAUCACCAAAUCACGGAGGAGGAGGAGGAGGAGCACCCCACAACUAUGGGGGGCCACAGGAAAACAACUAUUGGGGAGCACAGCAGCCAAACAACUAUGGUGGAC